Molecule: ribosomal RNA, 2902 nt
Filed under: Escherichia coli AB42602061-isolate1
Lineage: Bacteria; Pseudomonadati; Pseudomonadota; Gammaproteobacteria; Enterobacterales; Enterobacteriaceae
Also listed under: 2 other names
Description: bacterial LSU rRNA
Rfam family: Bacterial large subunit ribosomal RNA
Source: RNAcentral
UUAAGCGACUAAGCGUACACGGUGGAUGCCCUGGCAGUCAGAGGCGAUGAAGGACGUGCUAAUCUGCGAUAAGCGUCGGUAAGGUGAUAUGAACCGUUAUAACCGGCGAUUUCCGAAUGGGGAAACCCAGUGUGAUUCGUCACACUAUCAUUAACUGAAUCCAUAGGUUAAUGAGGCGAACCGGGGGAACUGAAACAUCUAAGUACCCCGAGGAAAAGAAAUCAACCGAGAUUCCCCCAGUAGCGGCGAGCGAACGGGGAGCAGCCCAGAGCCUGAAUCAGUGUGUGUGUUAGUGGAAGCGUCUGGAAAGGCGCGCGAUACAGGGUGACAGCCCCGUACACAAAAAUGCACAUACUGUGAGCUCGAUGAGUAGGGCGGGACACGUGGUAUCCUGUCUGAAUAUGGGGGGACCAUCCUCCAAGGCUAAAUACUCCUGACUGACCGAUAGUGAACCAGUACCGUGAGGGAAAGGCGAAAAGAACCCCGGCGAGGGGAGUGAAAAAGAACCUGAAACCGUGUACGUACAAGCAGUGGGAGCCUCUUUAUGGGGUGACUGCGUACCUUUUGUAUAAUGGGUCAGCGACUUAUAUUCUGUAGCAAGGUUAACCGAAUAGGGGAGCCGAAGGGAAACCGAGUCUUAACUGGGCGUUAAGUUGCAGGGUAUAGACCCGAAACCCGGUGAUCUAGCCAUGGGCAGGUUGAAGGUUGGGUAACACUAACUGGAGGACCGAACCGACUAAUGUUGAAAAAUUAGCGGAUGACUUGUGGCUGGGGGUGAAAGGCCAAUCAAACCGGGAGAUAGCUGGUUCUCCCCGAAAGCUAUUUAGGUAGCGCCUCGUGAAUUCAUCUCCGGGGGUAGAGCACUGUUUCGGCAAGGGGGUCAUCCCGACUUACCAACCCGAUGCAAACUGCGAAUACCGGAGAAUGUUAUCACGGGAGACACACGGCGGGUGCUAACGUCCGUCGUGAAGAGGGAAACAACCCAGACCGCCAGCUAAGGUCCCAAAGUCAUGGUUAAGUGGGAAACGAUGUGGGAAGGCCCAGACAGCCAGGAUGUUGGCUUAGAAGCAGCCAUCAUUUAAAGAAAGCGUAAUAGCUCACUGGUCGAGUCGGCCUGCGCGGAAGAUGUAACGGGGCUAAACCAUGCACCGAAGCUGCGGCAGCGACACUAUGUGUUGUUGGGUAGGGGAGCGUUCUGUAAGCCUGUGAAGGUGUGCUGUGAGGUAUGCUGGAGGUAUCAGAAGUGCGAAUGCUGACAUAAGUAACGAUAAAGCGGGUGAAAAGCCCGCUCGCCGGAAGACCAAGGGUUCCUGUCCAACGUUAAUCGGGGCAGGGUGAGUCGACCCCUAAGGCGAGGCCGAAAGGCGUAGUCGAUGGGAAACAGGUUAAUAUUCCUGUACUUGGUGUUACUGCGAAGGGGGGACGGAGAAGGCUAUGUUGGCCGGGCGACGGUUGUCCCGGUUUAAGCGUGUAGGCUGGUUUUCCAGGCAAAUCCGGAAAAUCAAGGCUGAGGCGUGAUGACGAGGCACUACGGUGCUGAAGUAACAAAUGCCCUGCUUCCAGGAAAAGCCUCUAAGCAUCAGGUAACAUCAAAUCGUACCCCAAACCGACACAGGUGGUCAGGUAGAGAAUACCAAGGCGCUUGAGAGAACUCGGGUGAAGGAACUAGGCAAAAUGGUGCCGUAACUUCGGGAGAAGGCACGCUGAUAUGUAGGUGAAGUCCCUUGCGGAUGGAGCUGAAAUCAGUCGAAGAUACCAGCUGGCUGCAACUGUUUAUUAAAAACACAGCACUGUGCAAACACGAAAGUGGACGUAUACGGUGUGACGCCUGCCCGGUGCCGGAAGGUUAAUUGAUGGGGUUAGCGGUAACGCGAAGCUCUUGAUCGAAGCCCCGGUAAACGGCGGCCGUAACUAUAACGGUCCUAAGGUAGCGAAAUUCCUUGUCGGGUAAGUUCCGACCUGCACGAAUGGCGUAAUGAUGGCCAGGCUGUCUCCACCCGAGACUCAGUGAAAUUGAACUCGCUGUGAAGAUGCAGUGUACCCGCGGCAAGACGGAAAGACCCCGUGAACCUUUACUAUAGCUUGACACUGAACAUUGAGCCUUGAUGUGUAGGAUAGGUGGGAGGCUUUGAAGUGUGGACGCCAGUCUGCAUGGAGCCGACCUUGAAAUACCACCCUUUAAUGUUUGAUGUUCUAACGUUGGCCCCUGAUCGGGGUUGCGGACAGUGUCUGGUGGGUAGUUUGACUGGGGCGGUCUCCUCCUAAAGAGUAACGGAGGAGCACGAAGGUUGGCUAAUCCUGGUCGGACAUCAGGAGGUUAGUGCAAUGGCAUAAGCCAGCUUGACUGCGAGCGUGACGGCGCGAGCAGGUGCGAAAGCAGGUCAUAGUGAUCCGGUGGUUCUGAAUGGAAGGGCCAUCGCUCAACGGAUAAAAGGUACUCCGGGGAUAACAGGCUGAUACCGCCCAAGAGUUCAUAUCGACGGCGGUGUUUGGCACCUCGAUGUCGGCUCAUCACAUCCUGGGGCUGAAGUAGGUCCCAAGGGUAUGGCUGUUCGCCAUUUAAAGUGGUACGCGAGCUGGGUUUAGAACGUCGUGAGACAGUUCGGUCCCUAUCUGCCGUGGGCGCUGGAGAACUGAGGGGGGCUGCUCCUAGUACGAGAGGACCGGAGUGGACGCAUCACUGGUGUUCGGGUUGUCAUGCCAAUGGCACUGCCCGGUAGCUAAAUGCGGAAGAGAUAAGUGCUGAAAGCAUCUAAGCACGAAACUUGCCCCGAGAUGAGUUCUCCCUGACCCUUUAAGGGUCCUGAAGGAACGUUGAAGACGACGACGUUGAUAGGCCGGGUGUGUAAGCGCAGCGAUGCGUUGAGCUAACCGGUACUAAUGAACCGUGAGGCUUAACCUU